This 462-nucleotide ribosomal RNA is filed under the name Haliotrema susanae. Its description in RNAcentral is "partial large subunit ribosomal RNA". It matches the Rfam family "Eukaryotic large subunit ribosomal RNA", at positions 158 to 587 of the family's 3401-position model. The record is from RNAcentral. Lineage: Eukaryota; Metazoa; Platyhelminthes; Monogenea; Dactylogyridea; Ancyrocephalidae.
CACGCCUGGGAGUCGCUGGCCUGUUCUAAGUCCAAACUCCGAUUGCGGCAUUGGAUGUGUCCAUAGCGGGUGAAAGACCCGUUCGAGCAGGCCAGUGUUUGUUUACGCGAUUCCUAGAUGCGUGUGCUAUCGAGUCGGAUUGCUUGAGAAUGCAGUCCAAAGUGGGUGGUAAACUCCAUCCAAGGCUAAAUACUGGCACGAGUCCGAUAGUAGACAAGUACCGUGAGGGAAAGUUGAAAAGUACUCUGAAGAGAGAGUAAAUAGUACGUGAAACCGGUUGCAGAGAAUCAGGUGGAGUCAAGCUACAUGCUUGGUUGAUUGCCUUCCGAUCUGUUCGUGUCGGGACGUGAGGUGUGGCAACUUGGAAUAAGUUGGGCGUACUUGUGGGCUUCAAGUGGUUCUGGGUAGCUUGAUCGUCUUUCCUCUAUUUCCCCGAUCGGUUGGUGUAUUUUCCGCUGCUUA